AGGGUGUAGAUUUAACGUCCGUUUUUCUUCCCUCUUGUCUGACUUGUCAAACUUGACUUAUCUUCGUCGUGGCUGCUGGCGAAAAGAAAAGGGGGAGAGGGGAGUCACCCUUAAAGGAAAACUACAAACCACCCUAAGAUGGCCGAGGUGAGCAGGAUUGCGAGCAGGACUGCGCGAGUGAGCGGCCUGCGGGCAGACGGCUCCUUGAGCAAUUAACCCGCCACUUCCUGCGAUCCAGAAACGGCGGAGGGGAAAUAGAGUCUGUUCGAGUGGACCCAACGAACCCCAACUGUGCCCUGGUUUAAAGACACUGCAGUGGCCCAGACUCAACCAUGACCCACUGCAAAGUCAAUUUCAGCCUGCCUGGUCACAACAAGCACGCCACCAUCAAGGUCACCUACCUGGGAUACAAAAAGUGGGUGUUAGCCCUUUGUAAAAAUACAUCAUAAUCAUCAUACGAUUUGCUCUGAAUGAUUGCCAGGAGCGUCAAGGGCAUUAUGCGUAAAUCCUAUUUUGCCUGCCUGCUGGUAAUUGUACUAUGAACUGUAUACAUUUGUGGCUUGAAUCUAAAAGUGAAGAAAUGAGUUCAUGCUUUCUUUUCAUUGCAUGUUUUUGCACUCAAAAAUUCCUCCGUGUCGUAAAGUUAAGCCAAUUGUGAAGGACAAUGAGAUGUUCUGCCUGUAAUUAAUAUCUUUGUUGUUGCAAAUGUUAAAAAGAACUUAAUCAA
Syngnathus typhle (broad-nosed pipefish) is the source of this 727-nucleotide long non-coding RNA. RefSeq lists it as uncharacterized. The transcript has 3 exons. NCBI's taxonomy places the organism in Eukaryota, Metazoa, Chordata, Actinopteri, Syngnathiformes, Syngnathidae. The record is from RefSeq and is a predicted model, not a curated record.